AGAACAAUGCACCACAAUACCGAGAAAAAAAUGUUCUCAAACCUUGAAACAACUCCUUCUACAACUUCUCAUAACCCUACUCAAACCUAACACAGCCAAAUAAUCCAAGCACGAAAACACACCCAAAACACCUGACAUAGAUAGCUCCAAUGGUAUGAGAGAGAACUAAUCUAGUGUUGAUGUCGUUGUUUGAAAGGACAACCUGAAGAUUGACGUCCCAGUCCAACAUGAUAGGACCAAUUACAUCCAUUGAACCAAAGAUUUGAAAAGGUAGAUAUCAAUAUAACCGAGAAAAAAAAAGUAUCAUAAUGUUUGCAUGUCUCAAUGUUUCAUUCAAAUAUGGUUAGGUAACGAUCUAUUUUCACACCAUAACUAUCAUAUAGUAACAAAUCAACAUAAACUUUGGACCUCUACCUGCU
Molecule: long non-coding RNA, 419 nt
Filed under: Brassica napus (rape)
Lineage: Eukaryota; Viridiplantae; Streptophyta; Magnoliopsida; Brassicales; Brassicaceae
Description: long non-coding RNA (BNAP_LNC001108)
Source: RNAcentral